UACGAAGGGGGCUAGCGUUGCUCGGAAUCACUGGGCGUAAAGGGUGCGUAGGCGGGCUUUUAAGUCAGAGGUGAAAUCCUGGAGCUCAACUCCAGAACUGCCUUUGAUACUGGGAAUCUUGAGUAUGGAAGAGGUGAGUGGAACUGCGAGUGUAGAGGUGAAAUUCGUAGAUAUUCGCAAGAACACCAGUGGCGAAGGCGGCUCACUGGUCCAUAACUGACGCUGAGGCACGAAAGCGUGGGGAGCAAACAGG
RNAcentral lists this ribosomal RNA (253 nucleotides) under uncultured bacterium. RNAcentral describes it as "partial 16S ribosomal RNA". It matches the Rfam family "Bacterial small subunit ribosomal RNA", at positions 524 to 776 of the family's 1533-position model. The record is from RNAcentral.